Bos grunniens (domestic yak) is the source of this 2583-nucleotide long non-coding RNA. Lineage: Eukaryota; Metazoa; Chordata; Mammalia; Artiodactyla; Bovidae. The record is from Ensembl.
AUGGGCGAGGGAAGGAGGGAGGGAGCGCGCGAGGGAGGGAGGAGGAUGGGGGGGGUUAAAGCCGCCGAGCGCCGAGGAGCCGGUGCAGAGCGGGCGGCGGCGGCAGCGGAGGCAGCGGCUCCAGCCGGCGCAGCGCGGGGCUCGGCGGCGGGAUCCGGCGGCGGUGCUAGCUCCGCGCUCCCUGCCUCUCUCCCUGCCGGGGGCGGUCGAAGAGCUAGGCGCGGAGCCCCGGCGGUCCGAGGGCGCGUGCUCAGCAAGGCUGCAGAGUAACUAACUGCCUGUGAAAUCUGGGACUUAGGGGCAGGGGUCCACGAGUCUCAGCCCCCACCGACCCUGCCUCUGCUAUAAACAAGGUACACAGUGGGAGGCCAGUGUUGAGUAAACAAUCUUUCUCUCCAGCCAUACUGAGUGGUGUUGGUGGGCAGGACCAUGUCCCUAAUUCCCUGGCCGGCAGGGAUUAGGUGCUCAAGAAAUGUUAACGAAUGAACACUGAGUGGGACAGACUGUGGGGAGAGGGGACUCUCCGGGGUUUGUGGCUUGAGACUCAACAGCCUCUGUGGCAUAACCCUGUUUUUUGGUUUGAACCACCCCUAAGUGAUUUGCAGGCAAGAUUAAAGGAAGGACUUCCCUGUAUUCAAGGAAGGAGUGCAAAGGAUGGGCAGCUUCUUCCUUGAAAAGGUCUGUGGCAGAGGUCAGAGCUCACUUCUGUCCUCUCCCCAGCUUCAAGAUUUUUCAGAAGAUGGGAAAAUCCUUUUCUCCCCCGUGUGGUGGUGAACAUGUCCCUUGCUUUCUCUAAGUCUGGGUUUCUUGGACUCUAGCUAAAGCAGUGGACCCCAGGUCUGAGCCUUUGAGGCUGGGCUUCCCUGGUGGCUCAGCUGGUAAAGAAUCUGCCUGCAAUGCAGGAGAAGUGGGUUUGAUCCCUGAGUUGGGACGAUCCCCUGGAGAAGGGAACGGCUACUCAACUCCAGUAUUCUGGCCUGGAAAAUUCCAUGGACGUUAUAGUCCUUGGGGUCGCAAAGAGUCGGACACGACUGAGCAACUUUUACUUCACUUCUGAGGUUUAGCUGCUGUGGGCACCAUAGACUGUCUGUAUUGGUUAUUAAUGUCUGUCUGAGAACACAGAGUUCAGAUCCUAAAAAUACCCUGUGCAGCCAGAGCCUCAGAGGUGCUGGGGUAGCAGUGGCUGCAUCUUGAUGGGUUAGGCACAGAGGCAGGAGAGAGAGAGAGAAUGCGGAGAAACUGAGGCAGGCAGCAUGGGCCGGGAGUUGCACAGGAGACAGAGCCUUCCUUUGUAGGGAACAAAGGUUUCUAAAAGAGUGGUGCCAGUUAGUCACAUGAUGGCAACAUUUAGGGUAAUCUGUUAUCUUGCACCACCAAGAAUUUCCUUCUCAGAGAGCUUGGAGAUACAACUGAUAACAGACAUAAAAAUCAAGUAGUCAGUGGUAACCAUUUCAAGUCCAGCUUCAGAAUGUUCCAAAAUGGUGUGUGACCAAGGAAAAUGUCUUUCCCAGGUAGCCUUUUCUGAGCCGCUGCCUCUAUCCCUUCUCCUAGAGCUCUUCCUUGCAGCCCAAGUGCCAGUGAGUUUCUUCCACACCCUGUGCUAUACGUCCCCACCUCACUUCUGACCCCCAGGCCUCUGUGGAGCCCCUCUCCCCCAGGAGAAGGGGACUCACAGUGGUCCCCGAAAGGUAAGAUGAGCCCAGCCUCUGAGGACAGAUGUCAUGUGACCUUGGCCCAUGAGCUGACCUUUCUGGGCCCCUCCGUGAAAUCGUGGGAUGGGGGCUGGGCCCUGGCCCAGGCCCUGAGAGAACGCGGUUUUGGCACCCAUCCAGGUCCCUGACGUCAAUGACUCUCCAAAUAAUGGAAUCAAUAUUGGGGGGGUGGGGUGGGCAAGCGUGAACCAGGCCCCAGCGAUUAGAAACAGAUCAGCACAAACCCGCAGCUGACUCUGAUAGAGCUGCCUUGGAGAGCUAGGGUGGGGGGCCUGGGAGGAGGUGGACUUGAGGGGGCUCAGGAAUGGAGGCAGGCACUGGGUGUCCAAAGCGUGGGAGUACACAAGUGGGCAGAGACUCUGGCGCUGCUGGGGUGGGAAUGAUGAGGUUGGGGGGGCUGUCCUGGUCCCUUCCUCCUUUGAGCCUGUGGGGUUCUGAGACUGAGGUAACUUGGUGAAUGGAGACUUCUUUCAGCCAGUCAGUGAUCAAGAGUUCAUCUCUCUGCAUCCCAGACCUGGGCCCCUCAGCCAUAUUAGGGCUCAGAGGUUAUACCAGGGGAACAGAGGAGCUGGGGGAGGGUUCUGAGUGAGAUCUAAACGGCAUGACCUUUUUUUUAGAGGCAUGGGGCAUUAAUCCAACAUAGAGAAAUGGGUAUUCCCCUUCAGAUUGGGAGUCUGGCCUCCUUGCCCAGCUCAUGUCUCUCAGCCCUCUAUAAGGCAGCAGGUGAGGAUGGAGGGGGCCCUGGGGUCUAUAGGGGGCUGGCCUGGAGGCAGCUGACAAAAACAGGAAGAAGGGCUGGGGGGAGUGGCUGUAAUUAUAGGGCAUUUAUUAUUAAUCAGAUGAAACUGCUAGAAGCAGCUGGUGUAAUGUG